UUAAUCUGUCAGGCGUUCAGCCUGUUUCGCUUUCUUUCAUACCAUGUAUUUUAUAGAAAAUUGUAAUUAAUUUCAUUAUUUAAUCGAUCUUUGCAUUAACGCACCUGUAUGCGCCAGCCGUAGCCACAGCCGCAGCUUCAACAAACAGGUGACGACCACCUGCAGCUGGUCUAAAGCUGGCAGCCAAUUGGCUGCUACCCAGUUAGAGAAAUACAUCGUCAACUGCAUAACUUUCACCGGGGCAGCGUGAGGCAAUUGCGAGGAGCAAUGGAAAUGGACAAACACACACAAGUUUCCCUGCAGCCCCGGGCAGGAUGGCCAACCAGCCAGGUGGUUUGGCCAGUAACAACAGCAACAGCAACAACAACAACAACAAGUCAGCACGGUCAGCGAGCCGUACUAAAGGGUAUAACAAGCCAACAAACAAACAAACAAACAAACAAACAAACAACUAGACGAGCCAACAAGCAAUCUAAGCACACAUAAGUAAAGACAGCCAAAAAGUAGCUUCCCUUUUUGGCUAAUUAUCAUAUGUACACAAGGGUGUGGUCUAGCAAGGCCAAGAGCCGCUUAGAACGUAGACUUCAACCAGUCGAUUGAUCGAUUGUCUUUUAAUGCAUUCACGAACGAAAGUCGCAGCUUGACAUAUGCGAAGUGAAAAGAUGGCCAAGAUCGAGCUAUGGAAUCAUCACGAACGGCGACAGUCAUAAAAAAACAAUGUUAAGAGUCCUCUAGUCGGCACUGCCUGACUAGGAGAUACCCUGAACCAAGCGUCAAGCCGAUGUUCGGGUUUAAAUAUGGCAUAAAAAAGAUGAAGGAGAGGUAUCCAAUACGGAGAUUUACAUAAACUGUAUACACUAAACAAGAGCCUACAUAUCGAGUUUGAUGUAUCUCCCAUAGUAUGAAAGAGGUAGAAGAUACAGCAGUCAGAAUAAAUAUACCUUAAAUAGACCUUACAUUGGAGGACACACAUUAUAUCCUUUACGCAGAUUUUAAAUGGGUAUAACAAACUGGAUGUUCGCCUUGCCCGCAAAUCGUUUUCGUAUUAGGAUCAGAAAUUUCGAACGAUGCGUCGGCUGCUACAAAUCAAAAUCACAGAAAUCAAGUUUUUAUUUUGAUUCUUACUUUUAUAUAGGUGGGUGAAAAGACACGCUUCGAGCUGAUUGGGUUUGAUUUAUGUGUGUGUGUGUGUGUGUGUGUGUUGAUUACUUUGAAUUUGCCGCCACAAAUAAAAAGUGCACAAAAAGUGGCCGCCGGCGACUAAUGCCAUUUGCAAGCACAGCAAAAA
Molecule: non-coding RNA, 1288 nt
Organism: Drosophila virilis
Lineage: Eukaryota; Metazoa; Arthropoda; Insecta; Diptera; Drosophilidae
Source: RefSeq, a predicted model, not a curated record